AGUGAACGCUGGCGGUAGGCCUAACACAUGCAAGUCGAACGGCAGCACAGUAAGAGCUUGCUCUUACGGGUGGCGAGUGGCGGACGGGUGAGGAAUACAUCGGAAUCUACUUUUUCGUGGGGGAUAACGUAGGGAAACUUACGCUAAUACCGCAUAUGACCUACGGGUGAAAGCAGGGGAUCAUCGGACCUUGCGCGAUUGAAUGAGCCGAUGUCGGAUUAGCUAGUUGGCUGGGUAAAGGCCCACCAAGGCGACGAUCCGUAGCUGGUCUGAGAGGAUGAUCGGCCACACUGGAACUGAGACACGGUCCAGACUCCUACGGGAGGCAGCAGUGGGGAAUAUUGGGCAAUGGGCGCAAGCCUGAUCCAGCCAUGCCGCGUGAGUGAAGAAGGUCUUCGGGUCGUAAAGCCCUUUUGUUGGGAAAGAAAAGCAGCGGGAUAAUACCCCGCUGUUCUGACGGUACCCAAAGAGUAAGCACCGGCUAACUUCGUG
Molecule: ribosomal RNA, 492 nt
Filed under: uncultured bacterium
Lineage: Bacteria
Description: partial 16S ribosomal RNA
Rfam family: Bacterial small subunit ribosomal RNA
Source: RNAcentral